GUCGGGUCUUACGGUUGUCGGUAUGACGGGUCUGCCUCACCGCGCGCGAUUUUCUCCGGUGGAAUGUACAGUCGUGCCGCUUAAGGGUACAGCAUAGGGUACAGCUGAUGCCCGGAGGGAAUAAAGGGAGGUAACCAAACUAGAUGAGCCAGAUACAUUCAGACUAUAAUGUCAACACAUGAUCUGCAGCAGUCAAGUUGUCAAAGCGGAGUGAACGCCAGCGUGACUUGCGUUGGCUCAGAUCAGGAGGGAUUGUACACACAAACUGAUAAAUCACGUUUUCAGAAUGUAAGUGAACACGAGAAGAAACAUCCUGGACCACUGGCUCAGCACAUCCUCAACAAGAAAGAUUUAGAAACUAGAACUACUGCUUCUUCACCACCAUCAUUGCAGUUAACAGGCCAGCAGAAAAGCAGCAGAGAUUUGCAGAUCAGGCAAAUAAUACUUCUCAGAUCUAAGGAAGACCUCAGUAGGACAUCUGAGGAGCAGAGGAAAUCUGCCAGAUUCAUUUCCACCAUCUCUAUCAGUUUUCCCAAUAUAAGAAACAAAAAAGACACAGCGGAGGAAAAAACACUGAAAACUACAACUAACCUCACACAUGAAGCCGUAAAGAACACAGCUAAUCAACACCACACAGAGCUAAGGGACGUGCUUUCACAAACUGACCAAUGUGGCAAAUCAACUGGUAUAUUUAAGAAUGGGGAUGGGCCAAAAGCAAGCUUUGAUGAAGACAGCUUUACCACUCUGCAUCAAUGUGGGACAAAGCCGGGACAAAAUACAGGAAUACAACACGACAUAGGCCUUCAUGAACAAACAGAAAUUGUCCACAACAACUCACAAAGAGAUUCUACUCAUCCUGUUUGUGAGGUUCAAACACAAUUCAACAAGGAAUCUGGAGCCAAUGACUGUAGAGAGAAUGCUGUAACAACUCCACAAUACCACAGUAAUCUGACCUCCCUUGAAGUGGACAAUGGUCUAAAAGCAAGCACUGAUUCCCAGUUUUUUGCACACCAUUCAGAAGUUGCAAACCAGGUCUUGUCAUUAGACUAUUUACCUGCUCCUCAUUCUGAAAAUACCCUUGAGCCAGAACCUGGAUAUAUCAAUCCUACAUCAGCUAUGUUAUCAUCAGCCCUGGCCUCAGUUCUUGCUCCACCUUGGAGUGGCCGCCUUCGAAGACCCAAGCAAAGCGGAAACGAAGUACAGCAUGAACCCCAAGAUUGUGGACAGAAUAUGAACCCAUCUACCUUAUUUCGCCAGGAUCGGCUGCAACAACCGUUUCUUCCUUCCCAGAGGCGACCAUCUGAACACAUGUUGGCCAAUGACAAUGACAUGCAGUUGGCUGCAGGAACCAGCUAUAACUCUCCUGACUGGCAAAAAGAGAACAAUUCCCCGAACAUCACAACCAAAAUACAGCCAAAGAGACCCAUUACUGAGUCCUCCUCUGUGGGCAUGAUGUACAAUAAUACAGAUUUGCAUCCUUUUCCCACACCUCUGGCCCAUUCAGGGUACAGAAUAUCAAACACUGGAGAUGAACAUGAGUCUUUCAAAUCAUUGAGCUCUAAGCCAACAACAAGCAGCCUACUUCUUUCCUUGAGGAGGUCAAAUCUGAGAAACUCCAGUGCUGAGCCCACACAAUCAGAGACUCAGAUGACUAGGUCUGUCAGGUCCCUUACGUUGCCUAGCAGAGUUGUUCUGAAAACUCCAUCAUUUGCCCAUCCUGUUACCGCUGAUGCCCAAACCCCCGAAUACCCAGACACUCCUGCAAGUACAGAGGAAAUACCAGUCAGUCAGUUCCCUUUCUCCCCUAGAAUUAGGAGUAGAGUGCCAUUAAGGGCAUCACUGUUUCUAAACAAACCAGAGACAGAAAUUUCAAAGAGACUAGAAGCUUCUAUUGCCAAAGCAGAGGAGGAACAUUUCCCACACUCCACAACCAAAACCAGCCAACUUGGGGUUCUCAGAGCCCAAGAACGUUCUUAUUCAGUUCUUUUGAGGGAAUAUUCCAGUACAGAAGACACAGAUGCAGUGGAACAAAAUACUGCCAACAACACCAACCUGCAAUACUCCAAUAUGACCAAACAACAAGUAUCUCCAGAUACCACAAUUUCUCCCAAAGAUUCAACAAAUUUUAAUGUUCAACAAUCUGGCUUUAAUGUCCAAAAAUUAAAAUCACAAAGCACACACAAUAUAAUAGCCAGCAGUUCUUCGGGCACAAGCACCUUCACAGACAGGCUCAACUACUCACCCUGGAAAGACUCUUCUGUAGAUGGAACAAGUCCCACAAAUAUAUAUCUGGACUCUAAGAAAUAUUCUCAGUCAAGUCAAAGCACGAUGGAUCUUUCGAGCCCUCUUUCUCCAAGCAGACCUCUCAGAAGUGUAAGAGUACCAAGCAUUUAUUCAUACCUAAGGGAGUACAGCCCGGCGGUGUCCACCCCUUCCCCUUCCACCCCUUCUUCCCACAUACAGAGAGGUGAAACAUCGCCUCCUAAGCAAGAUGGAGGUGUAACACUGCAGGGUGACCGGAGAACACUUCCCUCAAAAUUUUCAUUUGACUUCAACCCAUUUGUGCCACAGGUACAAGUGUUACAAAGAAGCUCUUAUGGCUCUCAUAUAGCACCAGCUCAAUCUCUGCCUCCUGAUUUUGGACGAAGAUCAGCACCUCGUCUCAGUACAUCUCCAUAUUCUAGCCUCAUCUCCUCACGACCUACACUCAACAACACUUUACAAGAACUACGCUCUCCACCUGUGCCCAAAACUCAUACCCAAACUACAUCUUAUGGUAUUGUAACCACUCCUGCAGACUUCAUAAAAAGUGAUCCAAGUUCUUCACUGUCCACAUACACAAGCAUAAUAAGAAGACCAAAGGAACAGUUUGCUUCUUCUAACAGAGAACAGAGGACAGCAGUUCAAGCUUACACAAGCGCCUUAGAUAAUCACAAACCUGCCCAGCCAUGCCUCUUACAAACUGCACCAGAUGCAAGUUUUGUCAUGGAAAGCCAAAGCGCUAAUAUAAGCCCACACCCAAGGCAGCCCAACACAGGCUCUAACAACUUCUUUCAGCAGGAGCAUGAUGGCCUGAUAGAACUUCAGCUUGAUAAGGGUAAUGCAUACCCCAAGCACAAGCUGAGUGAGAAAGGUAAGUAUUUAUUACCUGAUAAGCUCACAGUAGAAAGUGAGACUCCACUGACAGCUGAGAAAGAUAUAUCUGCUGUGCAUAUGCAUGAGAGAUUGCAGGAAAUGCAAAGUUCCAAUUCAAAAAAAGGCCUCUUUAGUUCACGAGUUAAGAAAGACAAAGAAGCUGUCUUCUCUUCAGCUUCUUUGCCAGACAAAGAGGUUGUUAGUCCCCAGUAUUUAAAAACCAAAAGACAUUUGCCAGUGUUUAGAACGAGCAGCAGGAUUGACCAGAUGUUAAAUCGCUUGAAACUGACAUUUGGUGUCAAACGUUCAGACAGCUCACUUGACACACUACCAAAAAAGAACAAGAGUCCCACUCAGCACCCCUCAGAUACUGAGACUUUUGAAAGUCCCAAGACAGAGGAGAAAACAUGUUCUGAGAGCCAUCCGGCACCCUCUAACUCCUCUUUAACAACUGAUAAAACCUCUUUAGGUUCCUUGCCACUACUAACAUUAAAGAAAUCUGAGAGUACAUUAAAUAUGAGUGGACAAAAUAAGUCUAAGGCUGAAAUAAAUUAUUCUGGGUCCACACAGGAGGCCCCCAACUCGUCCUUGACCAUUGAUAAAGCAUCUUUUGCCUCUUUUGGGUCCUUGUUGCCACUUACAUUAGAGAAAUCUGAGAAUACUUUAAAUAUGGACUGGCAAAAUAGAUCUACAACUGAACAAAAGGGUUCUGGGUGCACAUGGGAGACCCCCAGCUCAUCUUUGACCACCAAUAAAGCAUCUUUUGCAUCUUUGACGCCACUUACAUUAAAGAAAUCUGGGAAUACUUUAAAAAUGAAUUGGCAAAACAGAUCUACAACUGAACAAAAGGGUUCUGGGUACACAUGGGAGGCCCCCAACUCAUCUUUGACCACCGAUAAAGGCUCUUUUGCUUCUUUUGGGUCUUUGUCGCCACUUACAUGCAGGAAAUCUGAGAAUACUUUAAAUAUGGACUGGCAAAACAGAUCUACAACUGAACAAAAGGGUUCUGAGUGCACAUGGAUGGCCCCCAACUCAUCUUUGACCACCGAUAAAGGCUCUUUUGGGUCCUUGUCACCCUUAACAUUAAAGAAAUCAUCUGAGAAUAAAUUAAAUGUUGAUCAGCAAAAGAGGCAUAGCGAUGAAAAUGGAAGAAGCUUUAGUCCACAUAGGCAAAAGGCCCAAAGUAUGAAUCGUUCUGCCACCUUGCCACAUUACAGAAAAUCCUCUGUCGGUCCCCCAUCGCCCUUUUAUUUGUUUGAUUUUGAUUCAGAAGACAUUCAGAAUGACAAUGUGUUUUAUAGUCCAUUGAGCAAAAAAACAAAUUCACUUUGUGAGUCCGAUGACUUCUCUCCUCAGAGCGCCACCAAGAGUCCUGUGCAGCAAAACCUUGUGAGGUCUCGCUUGUCCUCAUCAUGUGCUGAUUUAAAGUAUGGUCUACACAGUGGACGAUCUUUCUCAGUAAGCAGUGUGGUUUCAAGCCGCCCAUCAGGUCCUGGACGAAUCUCAACAAGCAGCAUCAGCGACCUCUCAAGUUUGGAUGACUUUCUGCCAAAGGGGAAUUAUACAAUAGUUGACUCUCCAAUGAGUAGUAGCCAUUCCCCAAUCUAUGAUGCAAAACCUAUCACUGGUAAACAGUCUCAAUCUGUAUAUACAGAUAAUCUUGAUCUUGAUCAUGAUGAUGCAGACCCAACCCCACCUCCAUCUCCAACUAUGUCCUCUUCACCUCGUCGGAUAUCCCAGGCUCCUUCUGUGUCUUCCCCCAUAUGGACAACUCCAGAAAAUCUGUCUCCUCCUCGUGGAAUCCUGUCAUCAAGGAGCUACACAACCAGCAUGACUGUUUUUGAGGAGUCUGAUUCUGACACCACAACCGAUGAUGAAUACUAUCUUGAUAAUGGUGAUGCGGUAGAAACAGAACUUUAGAAGAGAGAAUUGUAUGUUGUUCAAUUCCAUCAUGUUACAUAAACUGGGGGCAUUCUAUGCAUAGGGUCUUCUAUGACAAAGCUGCAGCAAAAUUAGGUCUCUGUCAAACCAAUCUAAAUUGUAAAAAAAACUAGAAAUCCAGAUUGCAUAUGAAUAGAAGGAAUUAUAAUUAUAUCAGAACCGUAAGACCGUGUUGAUUUCAUAUUUCUUGUUAUAAAUUAAAUAUAAUGGGUUUUUGAAUUCUUUAGUGCUUGAGGAUAACAAUGUUUGAUUUCAUUAUGAAUGUAUUUACAAUACAGUACAAUGCACUGUUUCAUUAGUUUUUUAUACAUAUGCAUAUACAUAUUUUCUGGAUCUUGAGGCUUUGAAAUGGUGAAUUCUCAUGUCAUUCCUUUUAUUGAGGCCUGCCUCCUGCAGGUUAUUGGCUGUUUCAUUCACUGUGGCAUUUGAAAGAAAAGCGUGUCAGUCACAAUACAUUAUUUCCCUGACCGACAUUAUAUAGUCAGAAGCUGCCAACCAAGAAACUGAACCCCAACUAUGUUUAAUAUAUGUAUUUGAAUUUUUUUCAAUACUGCUCCUUUAACAGUCAGAAAAAAUAUAGAAAAUAGAAAAAUGUAAUAUUGGUGCCCGCAACACUGAUGAUUCCACAUUAAUUAAAUUAAUUAUGGCUAAGUCUGUAAAGAAGAUGUUGUAACAGAUGUCUGCUGUCCAUUUGAUAUUAUUGUUAAAAGUAUGAAAGUGUUAUUGAAAACGGUGGCUGAUCCUCAUCCACGACUUGUUAAUUUGAGGUUCAAACACAUGACCUCUCACAAUCUGCAAAAGACAUACCACAGAUGAACUAAGCAUUCUUAAAAAAAAAAAGACCUUACGGUUGAUUUUAUUUGCUGUAUAAUUUAAUUUUGUUGUUUGUGUGCAUCAUGUUUGUGUGUGGCUUUCAGUGUAAUUUUAAUUGAUCUUUUAUUGUAAUUUAUUAUGCAGGGCAGGGGGUUGGGGCAUCAUUUCUCUCCUAUAGCCUUAGGGACCUCCAUAAGACCUGUCAAUUGCAGCACUGACCUACGGUACUACUAAAUGCUUUGUAACAUAGGCCUACAUAUGUAAGGUCCUUUUUGUAAGGCCAUUUCUUGAAUGUCUUCAUUAAAACAGUUAUAUUUAUGAACAUUUAAUAUAUUGACUAAAUUGUAUUUUUUCUAACACAGAAGUAGAAGAAUAUUGAUCACUUGUAAAAAUGACUGUAAAUGACUAACUUUGGACAAGACGGUAACUGCUAUGUUAAAAUUUGAUUAGCAAGUACACUCUAGUCUUAGUAAACUUGUUCUCUAAUAACACAGAAACUCUUAAUUGCAGCUCAUUAAAAC
Molecule: long non-coding RNA, 6410 nt
Filed under: Sinocyclocheilus anshuiensis
Lineage: Eukaryota; Metazoa; Chordata; Actinopteri; Cypriniformes; Cyprinidae
Description: lncRNA (ENSSANG00000050957.1)
Source: RNAcentral